RNAcentral lists this transfer RNA (71 nucleotides) under Stegodyphus mimosarum. It matches the Rfam family "tRNA". Rfam says of the family: Transfer RNA (tRNA) molecules are approximately 80 nucleotides in length. The record is from Rfam by way of RNAcentral. Lineage: Eukaryota; Metazoa; Arthropoda; Arachnida; Araneae; Eresidae.
GCAUUCGUGGUGUAACGGUAGCACACUCGGCGCGUAUUCGAGAGGUCCGGGUUCAAAUCCCGGAGAAGAUA